Small nucleolar RNA from Pistacia vera, 107 nucleotides. NCBI's taxonomy places the organism in Eukaryota, Viridiplantae, Streptophyta, Magnoliopsida, Sapindales, Anacardiaceae. The record is from RefSeq and is a predicted model, not a curated record.
AAACCAUGGUGAGGACACUUCCGUAAGAGAUCUUUGUAUCUUCCCCAAGCCUCAUAAAGUGACUCCAUAUCUUGCUGGAAAAAAAUUGUGAUGUCACAUCUCAUCUU